GCCAGCGCUGCGCCUGGCGCUGCGCGCUCGUCGGAAGCGAGUGCUCGGGGGUUCGAUUCCCCCCGGCUCCA
RNAcentral lists this transfer RNA (71 nucleotides) under Phycisphaeraceae bacterium. RNAcentral's name for it is "tRNA-Ser". Lineage: Bacteria; Pseudomonadati; Planctomycetota; Phycisphaerae; Phycisphaerales; Phycisphaeraceae. The record is from RNAcentral.